This 75-nucleotide transfer RNA is filed under the name Acidobacteria bacterium 13_2_20CM_58_27. RNAcentral's name for it is "tRNA-Asn". It matches the Rfam family "tRNA". Rfam says of the family: Transfer RNA (tRNA) molecules are approximately 80 nucleotides in length. Their secondary structure includes four short double-helical elements and three loops (D, anti-codon, and T loops). Lineage: Bacteria; Pseudomonadati; Acidobacteriota. The record is from RNAcentral. RNAcentral also lists the same sequence under 18 other names.
UCCCCGGUAGCUCAAUGGUAGAGCAUUCGGCUGUUAACCGAAGGGUUGCUAGUUCGAAUCUAGCCCGGGGAGCCA